This 459-nucleotide ribosomal RNA is filed under the name uncultured bacterium. RNAcentral describes it as "partial 16S ribosomal RNA". It matches the Rfam family "Bacterial small subunit ribosomal RNA", at positions 61 to 795 of the family's 1533-position model. The record is from RNAcentral.
CCUCCUUUCUUCUUCCUUGCGGCAUCUUGGUCAAUGGUCGGGAGACUGAACCAGCCAAGCCGCGUGAGGGAUGAAGGUACAGAGUAUCGUAAACCUCUUUUGUCAGGGAACAAAGGCGGGGACGCGUCCCCGGAUGAGUGUACCUGAAGAAAAAGCAUCGGCUAACUCCGUGCCAGCAGCCGCGGUAAUACGGAGGAUGCGAGCGUUAUCCGGAUUUAUUGGGUUAAAGGGGUGCGCAGGCGGUCUGUUAAGUCAGCGGUCAAAGCCCGGGGCUCAACCCCGGCCCGCCGUUGAAACUGGCAGUCUCGAGUUGGAGAGAAGUAUGCGGAAUGCGCGGUGUAGCGGUGAAAUGCAUAGAUAUCGCGCAGAACUCCGAUUGCGAAGGCAGCAUGCCGGCUCCACACUGACGCUGAGGCACGAAAGCGUGGGUAUCGAACAGGAUUAGAUACCCGUGUAGUC